Molecule: ribosomal RNA, 484 nt
Filed under: uncultured bacterium
Lineage: Bacteria
Description: partial 16S ribosomal RNA
Rfam family: Bacterial small subunit ribosomal RNA
Source: RNAcentral
AUUGAACGCUGGCGGCAGGCCUAACACAUGCAAGUCGAGCGGAUGAAGGGAGCUUGCUCCUGGAUUCAGCGGCGGACGGGUGAGUAAUGCCUAGGAAUCUGCCUGGUAGUGGGGGAUAACGUCCGGAAACGGGCGCUAAUACCGCAUACGUCCUGAGGGAGAAAGUGGGGGAUCUUCGGACCUCACGCUAUCAGAUGAGCCUAGGUCGGAUUAGCUAGUUGGUGGGGUAAAGGCCUACCAAGGCGACGAUCCGUAACUGGUCUGAGAGGAUGAUCAGUCACACUGUAACUGAGACACGCUCCAUACUCCUACGGGAGGCAGCAGUGGGGAAUAUUGGACAAUGGGCGAAAGCCUGAUCCAGCCAUGCCGCGUGUGUGAAGAAGGUCUUCGGAUUGUAAAGCACUUUAAGUUGGGAGGAAGGGCAGUAAGUUAAUACCUUGCUGUUUUGACGUUACCAACAGAAUAAGCACCGGCUAACUUCGUG